GUAGGUGAACCUGCGGAAGGAUCAUUACAAAUCCAAAACAAACACUCGUUUAAAUGUUUUCGGCCUUGGGGCUCUGAAUGGCUUUUGGAUGAGGGGGAGAGACGAAAGUCUCAAUAAUCUGAAAGCCCAGUGCCAUUUAUAUCAGUAUUGUUACUCUCACAAGCUAGGUGUCUUUUAGGGUCUUGUACUCUUCUUGCGCCUUUCUUUGGGUGUGAUGAUCCCCUGGUAUAUUCAACCAAGGUUCGUCUUA
RNAcentral lists this unclassified non-coding RNA (250 nucleotides) under plant metagenome. RNAcentral describes it as "partial contains small subunit ribosomal RNA, internal transcribed spacer 1, and 5.8S ribosomal RNA". The record is from RNAcentral.